GCCUUGAUAGUCAAAUGGUGAGGCCUUCAUGGAAUAUAGGAGAUCUGGGUUCGAAUCCCAGCUAAGGUA
Molecule: transfer RNA, 69 nt
Filed under: Trachymyrmex cornetzi
Lineage: Eukaryota; Metazoa; Arthropoda; Insecta; Hymenoptera; Formicidae
Rfam family: tRNA
About the family: Transfer RNA (tRNA) molecules are approximately 80 nucleotides in length.
Source: Rfam by way of RNAcentral